GGAGAAUUGUCCGAGAGGCUUAUGGUGCAAACUUGGAAAGUUUGUGUGGGUAAAACCACCAGAGGUUCGAAUCCUCUAUUCUCCG
This 85-nucleotide transfer RNA is filed under the name Synechococcus phage S-PM2. It matches the Rfam family "tRNA". Rfam says of the family: Transfer RNA (tRNA) molecules are approximately 80 nucleotides in length. Their secondary structure includes four short double-helical elements and three loops (D, anti-codon, and T loops). The record is from Rfam by way of RNAcentral. Lineage: Duplodnaviria; Heunggongvirae; Uroviricota; Caudoviricetes; Pantevenvirales; Kyanoviridae.